AUCCUGGACAAUGGGGGCAACCCUGAUCCAGCCAUUUCGCGUGUGUGAUGAUGGCCUUCGUGUUGUAAAGCACUUUUUGCAGGAAAGAAAUCGCGCGGGCUAAUAUCCUGCGUGGAUGAUCGUACCUGCAGAAUAAGCACCGGCCAACUACGUGCCAGCAGCCGCGGGAAUACGUAGGGUCCAAGCGUUAAUCGGAAUUACGGGGCGUAAAGGGUGCGCAGGAGGUUCGGGAAGAAGGAUGUGAAAUCCCAGGGCUCAACCUUGGAAUGGCAUUCUUAACUACCGGGCUAGAGUGUGUCAGAGGGGGGUGGAAUUCCGCGUGUAGCAGUGAAAUGCGUAGAGAUGCGGAGGAACACCGAUGGCGAAGGCAGCCCCCUGGGAUAACACUGACGCUCAGGCACGAAAGCGUGGGUAGCAAACA
This 421-nucleotide ribosomal RNA is filed under the name uncultured bacterium. RNAcentral describes it as "partial 16S ribosomal RNA". It matches the Rfam family "Bacterial small subunit ribosomal RNA", at positions 361 to 774 of the family's 1533-position model. The record is from RNAcentral.